Molecule: long non-coding RNA, 595 nt
Filed under: Jatropha curcas
Lineage: Eukaryota; Viridiplantae; Streptophyta; Magnoliopsida; Malpighiales; Euphorbiaceae
Description: long non-coding RNA (JCUR_LNC003064)
Source: RNAcentral
UUGGUGGCAGGGGUUACCGGAAAAGCGAGCAGUAAGGAGGAGCGAGUUGCUUCGAUCAAGGUCGCACUCGCUCUUGCUAGCGAGGCAAUGACAGAUCAGAAAAAAAGGGGAAACGAUGCUGAAGAAGCUGCAAAUGAGAAGGCUAGAUCACAACCGUUAGCUAAGGACAGGUGUUGCCAGAAAAUCGAGAGGCAAAAUAAAAGUGGAGCUGUCCGAUUGUAAACGAAAUGCAGCCUCUGCUUCUCUCUCGUUUACACUACAACGGAUUGAAAUAUAGAAAAUGGUGGCCAGAGGGAUCAGUAGCGAGGUGCGGGUGGUCAAGUUGGCGGAGCUUGAGUUUCGGUGAACGGAAACCGCAGAAGGGGAAGGGGGUAGGGGCUAUCAGCAGAGUCCGGGAGAGAAGAGCGGAAAUUUGGAUUUUUUUCUUUUUAUGUUUUUAGUGAGUAGUUUGGUUUAAACCGGAUUUGAUUCGGUCCAGUUGUUUUGAGUGAUAUUUAAUUGAUUAUGGGUUUAAUUUAAUUUUUAAGGUUUGAUUUGGCAAUAACAAAAGUAUUUGUUACUAUUAAAUUUUAUUUAAUAAUUUUACAAAGCCUCA